This 6654-nucleotide long non-coding RNA is filed under the name Olea europaea (common olive). Its description in RNAcentral is "long non-coding RNA (OEUR_LNC003616)". Lineage: Eukaryota; Viridiplantae; Streptophyta; Magnoliopsida; Lamiales; Oleaceae. The record is from RNAcentral.
AUUGACCCGCUGAUCAACGGUUGAUGAUAUUAUCUAUAAAUAGGAUCCUUAGCUCGUGUUUGGGAGCGGGAUCGUCAUUCUGUUCUCUGAUUUUUCUCUCUGCCUUCUGGAACCUUCGUGUUCUUCGUCUUUGUGACUCUUCCUUCUUUUCUAUGUGAGAGUUCUGGUUGAUUAUCUUUGUGAUAAUUGUGUUCUUGUGUGAUUCUCCUUUGUGUGAGUAAUCUGUUGAAGGUAGGCAGUCCUUUUUUGGUUUCCAGUGAAGCAACCUUGAUGUGUUGGGGUUAUAAGGGCUUGUGUUUGAGUCUCGGUGCCUCUGUAAUGGUGUAAGGGGCGUGGUCUGAGCCUACAAUUGAAAGAUGUAAACCUUGAUGUAGUGGUUUAGGAUUUAUAUUGUAAUCUGCAGUUUCCAUAUUUAGAUUGAAUAUUUUCAGAUCUUGUUUUAAUAGUGGUAUCAGAGCAUUCUGCGUUCGUUCUUGAGUCUUCGAUUGAAGGUUGAACACUGGAAAAUUAAUUUACAGGUGUUCGACUGUAGAUCGCGAAACCCUAGUUCUUGAUUUGAGUCGACCUAGUGGUCUGUGGAGUUGAUUCGAACCUGGACUGUGGAAUGCGAGGGAUUUUCUGUGAGUCCUCGCUGUGAUCUGUAAAAGAACCAUAAAACCGAGAUCUUGUGGGUUCGUCUUGUGCUGGAACCCUAAUUUUUUGGAGCUGCAAGGCCUCGAAACUGGAAGAACUUGAAUCAGUAAGGGCACGAUUUGUGUUUUGGUGACCUGCAGUGAAUUCAUCCUUGCUGCAAUAAUUUGUUCCUGAUUUCAGCUAGUGGUUAAUUGCUUAACCACCCUCGGUUUGCACUUCUUGAACCCUACAUGACUGCACACUCACUAAACACUGCUUUUAUGUGUAUAUGCCUCUAUGUUGAUAUUUUCAAUUACUGUAUAUUGUAACCUGUUACAUUAGUUUGUGAUAUCUUGUUAUAUUUGCUUGUGAUCAAUUAAGUUUGGGUUAUUCAAAUUGAGCCUUGACCUAAGAACUUGAUUCUCACGGAAUCCUGGUGAAUUUGAUCAACCCUAGGUCCUGCAGAUAUUGAUUCUUUAAUCCUGAGAUAUAGUUCUUGCCUGCAUUGUUGUAUUUUUCUGGUUCUUGUGGUGUUUACAUUAGAAUAUCUAAUGAUCCUGCUAUUGAUUGAAACUAUUUGUGAAUAAAAUAAUUGUAGCUCAUUUAUUUGACUGCAUAUUACUUUAUGUGAUCUAAAACAUAAAUUUUUUGCGAAGGUCAAAUUCAACAGUUUUUUUCAAAAGUUGAUCAUCUGUUCUGUUAUAAUUUGUGAAAAAUACUGUGUGUUAGUUUUUCACAAUAAAACAUGACAAAAUCUUUUGAACUUGGUGUUUUUGAUGGAAAAGGGGAUUUUCCCAUUUGACAACAAAAAAUGCGAGGUGUUUUAGUUCAGCAAAAAGUUUCUAAAGCAAUAACAGAUGAAUUUCCUGAUACCAUGACAGAUGAUCAAAAGGAAGAAUCUGAUGAACUUGCUUAUACCUCCAUUAUUUUGCAUUUAUCUGAUCAAGUUUUAAGAAAGGUAGGCAAACAUGAUACUGCUAAGGCCUUAUGGGAUGAAUUAGAGAAGCUUUACCUACCUAAGUCUUUGCCUAAUAAGUUGUUUCUAUUAGAGAAAUUUUUUAGUUUUAGGAUAGAUCCAACUAGAGACUUAGAAGACAGCUUAGACAUUUUUAAUAAGUUAGUUCAAGACAUUAUUAAUACAGGUGAGAAAGUUUCUAAUGAGUAUAAGGCUGUAGUACUACUAAAUGUUAUACCUAAAACCUACAAAGAGGUUAAAGCCGCCAUUAAGUAUGGUAGAGAUACUCUUACGCUUGAUAUUGUCAUAGACUCUUUAAGGAGUAAGGAACUUGAACUUAAGUCUGAGAGAGGUAAUAGUGGCCAUGAAAACUUGUUUGCUAGAGGGAGGACUUUAAGUAGGUCUAGUGGUACUCAGGAAAGCCAUAAUAAUCAGGAAAAUAACAGUAGGAGAAAGUUUAAAAGUAGAGGCAGGUCUAAGUCAAGGACUAGGACUAAAAAGUGUUAUGGGUGUGGGAAAUCUGGACAUUUUAUUAAAAACUGUUAUAAGAAGAAAAAUGAACAGAAACAAAAGGGUGUUGAUGAAGGUAAUGUGGUAGAAUCUGAAGGUUCUGCCACAAUUGAUGUAUAUGCUGUGACUGAAAAUUUACCUAGCUCUGCAAAUGUUGUUGAUGAGAAUCAGAACCAAGAAUGGAUCUUGGAUUCUGGUUGUACCUUCCAUAUGACCUUUAAAAAGGCAUAUUUAGACAAUUUUAAGAAAAUUAAUGGAGGAGAAGUAGUUAUGGGCAAUAAUGUAGCCUACAGAGUUGAGGGAGUUGGGAAUGUCACUUUGCAAUAAUGGAUACAUUUACACUCUUGAAAGGGUGAGAUAUGUUCCUGAAUUGAAUAGGAAUCUGAUUUCCAUGGGAAAUCUAGAUGAUAUGGGAUUGCAAGGAAAAAUAGAAGAUGGCUUCUUGAAAGUGAUAAAAGGAUCACUUGUUAUUUUUAAAGGUGUUAAAAGAAAUGGGAUUUAUGUGAUCAAAGCUAGUAAAGUGUUUGAUCACAUAGGUGAGUCUUCCAGUGUAAAAUUUGAUGCUACCUUAAAGUGGUACAAGGGAUUGACCCAUGUAGGUGAAAAGGGCCUACACAUCCUUUAUAAGAAAGGUCUGUUUGGGAAGGACUCUAUAUCUAAGGUGUCUUUUUGUGAAAACUGCACCUUAGGAAAACAACAUAGGCUGCAUUUUAACACAGGAAAACAUAGAACCACCUCUAUCCUUGAGUAUAUACAUGCUGAUUUAUGGGGGCCUUCAUCCACUAUCACUCAAGGAGGAAAUAGAUAUUUCUUGUCCUUGAUUGAUGACUAUUCUAGGAAGGUUUGGGUUUAUUUGUUGAAACACAAAUCUGAAACCUUUGAUAAAUUCAGAACUUGGAAGAUUCUGGUGGAAAAUGAGAUUGGGAAGAAAAUUAAGAUCCUUAGGACGGAUAAUGGCCUUGAGUUUUGCAAUACUGAAUUUGAUCAGUUGUGCAAAGAAUCUGGUAUUAAAAGGCAUAAAACUGUACCUUAUACACCUCAACAGAAUGGAGUGGCCGAGAGGAUGAAUAGAACCUUGCUAGAUAAGGUUAGGUGCAUGUUGAUAGGCUCAGGUGUCCCUAAUGUGUUAUGGGGUGAAGCUGUAAUGACAGCUUCAUAUAUUGUUAAUAGGACCCCCUCAAGUGCUCUAGGAGAUAAAACCCCUGAAGAGCUAUGGACAGGACAUGUUCCUGAUUAUUCACAUUUAAGAAUCUUUGGUUGUGCCGCUUAUUCCCAUCAAAGUAUAGGAAAACUUGAACCCAGAGCCCAGAAAUGUGUUUUCUUGGGAUUUCCCGAUGGGGUUAAAGGUUAUAGGCUAUGGAGUAAAGAAGUAAAAGGUUUUAGAAUCAUCACCAACAGAGAUGUUACCUUUGAUGAGUCAAAAAUGCCUUGCUUAGAAAAUAAAGAACCAAAAGGGCUACCUGGUGGAGCUUGGCUUACCUAUUGAACCUGUUAGUGAUGAAUAGGUAGAUGAAGAAGCUAAAACAGCUUCUGAUCCUCAAGAAAAUGAAGAGGAAAAUGUUCAAGAAAAUCUGGAAAGUCAGCCUGAUGAAUUGGGAGAUUACCAAUUAACUAGAGAUAGGACUAGGAGAGAAGUAAGAGAGCCUGUUAGGUAUGGAGAUUACCUUUCACUUGCUGUUUUGUCCUAUCAUGACUUAGUGUUUAAAGAACCAAAAUCUUAAGAAGAGGCAAUGAGCUGCAAGCAGUCUGAGAAUUGGCAUGCUGCUAUGAUAGAUGAGAUGGACUCCUUAAUGAAAAAUGAGACUUGGACUUUAGUUCCAAAACCUGCAGCUAAGACCCUUGUUGAUUGCAAGUGGAUCUUUAGUGUUAAGGAGGGAAAUACUGAAAAGAUGCCCAUAAGAUUUAAGGCUAGACUUGUAGCAAAAGGAUUUACGCAAAAAGAGGGCAUAGAUUAUAAUGAGAUAUUUUCACAUGUGAUAAAGUACACAACAAUUAGAGUUAUGCUUACCCUUGUUGCUCAUUAUGAUCUUAAACUUGAACAAAUGGAUGUGAAAACUGCUUUCUUGUAUGGUGACCUUGAUGAAGUGAUUUAUAUGAGACAACCACCUGGUUUUAUUGAUGAAACUAAAUCUAAUCAUGUGUGUCUGUUAAAAAGAUCAUUAUAUGGUUUAAAGCAAUCUCCAUGACAAUGGUACAAAAGGUUUGAUAAUUUUGUAUCUACUAUUGGUUUCAUAAGAAGUGAAUAUGACCAUUGACUUUACUUUAAAAGAAAUGAUGAAAAUGCUAUUGCUGCAUUUAUACUUCUUUAUGUGGAUGAUAUGUUGCUGAUUGGUCAGAAUAUGCAUGUUAUUAAUCAGACAAAACGGUCUUUAAGUGCUGAAUUUGAAAUGAAAGACCUAGGACAUGCAAAAAGAAUAUUAGGUAUGGAAAUCACUAGGAAAAGGCACCACAGGUUACUGUACUUGAAGCAAACUGCAUAUAUUGAAAAAAUGUUGACUAAGUUUGCCAUGCAUAACUCUAAAUCUGUUUCACUUCCAUUGGCCAGCCAUUUUAAACUUAGUAAAGAGCAAUGUCCUGUAGAUGAAGACAUUAGGCAAAUGGAAAAUGUACCCUAUGCUAAUGCCGUAGGUUCUGUCAUGUACACUAUGGUAUGUACUAGGCCUGAUGUAGCUCAUUCCAUUAUCACACUUAGUAGAUUUAUGGCCAAUCCAGGACCAGACCAUUGGGUUGCUCUAAAAUAGCUGUUGAGAUACUUGAAAGGAUCUUCACAUGUUGGUUUAAUCUUUAGUGCUUGUAACGAAGGUGUUGUACUUAAGGGUUUUGUAGAUUCAGAUUUUGCCGGAGAUAGAGACAAUAGGAAAUCUACUACUUCUUAUAUGUGUACUUUGUGUAAUACAUGUAUUAGUUGGAAAUCUCAACUUCAACCUAAUGUUGCUUUAUCUACUACUGAAGCUGAGUAUGUUGCUGCAAUUGAAGCAAUAAAAGAAGCAUUACGGCUUAAGGGCUUAUUAUCUGAAAUAAAUGAAUUGUGUAACCCUGUUGUCUUGUAUUCAGAUAGUCAAAGUGCAAUUCACCUAUGUAAAAACCCUGUUUUUCAUGAAAGAACAAAACAUAUUGAUGUUAAGUUGCAUUUUAUUAAAGAUGUUGUUUCUAAAGAACUUAUUUUACUUGAGAAAAUUGCAACUCAGUUUAAUCCAGCUGAUGUAGGUACUAAGGUAAUACCUUUAAACAAGUUUAAGUCUUGUUUACAAAUUUUGAACAUUGAUGCUAGUUAAGUGUUUUGUUCUGUACUGGUUCUAAGAUUGAUGCUUGUUGAGAAUGCUGGGAAGCUGUCUUCUUGAGAAGGACAUUUAAAUUGUGUUUUACAUUUAUUAGGCUUCUUGUAUGAUCACUGGCAUCAAGGUGGAGAUCUGUUGGGCUGUAAUGCCAUUUGAUCCAGUCCAACUAUUAGGCAAUGAUGAAAAGGCCCAAAUAUGGAUUCAAUACUUGGUCCAUUAGUUAGAUACCUAGAAGGCCCACUUAACCGAGCCCAAUACCCAGCCCACACAUCUUAGUCGCUCUUGGACCGUUGGAUUGACCCGCUGAUCAACGGUUGAUGAUAUUAUCUAUAAAUAGGAUCCUUAGCUCGUGUUUGGGAGCGGGAUCGUCAUUCUGUUCUCUGAUUUUUCUCUCUGCCUUCUGGAACCUUCGUGUUCUUCGUCUUUGUGACUCUUCCUUCUUCUCUGUGUGAGAGUUCUGGUUGAUUAUCUUUGUGAUAAUUGUGUUCUUGUGUGAUUCUCCUUUGUGUGAGUAAUCUGUUGAAGGUAGGUAGUCCUUUUUUUGGUUUCCAGUGAAGCGACCUUGAUGUGUUGGGGUUAUGAGGGCUUGUGUUUGAGUCUCGGUGCCUCUGUGAUGGUGAAAGGGGCGUGGUCUGAGCCUACAAUUGAAAGAUCUAAACCUUGAUGUAGUGGUUUAGGAUUUAUAUUGUAAUCUGCAGUUUCCAUAUUUAGGUUGAAUAUUUUCAGAUCUUGUUUUAAUAAAUACUUGCUGAUAUUUCUUAAGAAUCCAAGAUAUGACUAUGUUAUUGUUUCGAGUCCAGGAGUUAAUGAGAUUAUCAUUAUCUGCAGGCUUUGGAAUAGAUUCAUCGAUGAAUCCUAGUUUGUUCUUCACAGACAAAGCAAUCACCAUGCUUAUGCUCCAGGAGGCCUAAUUGUCACCAGUUAAGGCUGAGAAACCAAAAUGAGACCUGGACUAUCCAAAUGAUGAAGAUAAUAACGAGUUGAUCCAUCAUCAAUGCUUGAGUUGUUCACUAGAGAUGAUGAAUUAUCUAAUAUCACCGAAGCAUUAGUCGCCAUGGAGAUGCUGAAUCAAUAAUUGAAGUGGAACAGGAAUCAAUUUAACAAUUGAUUUUGAACAACCAAAAUCCAAUUCAAUCUCUGGAAAAUGAGAAGAUGAAUCUGGAAUUCCACAAUUGCUCUGAUACCAUAUUGAUUCCAGAGAGGGAAAAAAAAAGCGAGAAAAAAAUUGCAUAUUGAAUGAAGAAUGAAAAUUGUUCUUUACAACAUGCAUACUGCUUGUAAACCUUGAUGUAGUGGUUU